GACGAACGCUGGCGGCGUGCUUAACACAUGCAAGUCGAACGGAAAGACCCUGCUUUUGUGGGGUGCUCGAGUGGCGAACGGGUGAGUAACACGUGAGUAACCUGCCCUUGACUUUGGGAUAACUUCAGGAAACUGGGGCUAAUACCGGAUAGGAGCUCCUGCUGCAUGGUGGGGGUUGGAAAGUUUCGGCGGUUGGGGAUGGACUCGCGGCUUAUCAGCUUGUUGGUGGGGUAGUGGCUUACCAAGGCUUUGACGGGUAGCCGGCCUGAGAGGGUGACCGGCCACAUUGGGACUGAGAUACGGCCCAGACUCCUACGGGAGGCAGCAGUGGGGAAUAUUGCACAGUGGGCGGAAGCCUGAUGCAGCAACGCCGCGUGCGGGAUGACGGCCUUCGGGUUGUAAACCGCUUUCGCCUGUGACGAAGCGUGAGUGACGGUAAUGGGUAAAGAAGCACCGGCUAACUACGUG
Molecule: ribosomal RNA, 468 nt
Filed under: uncultured bacterium
Lineage: Bacteria
Description: partial 16S ribosomal RNA
Rfam family: Bacterial small subunit ribosomal RNA
Source: RNAcentral